RNAcentral lists this unclassified non-coding RNA (577 nucleotides) under Hevea brasiliensis (rubber tree). Lineage: Eukaryota; Viridiplantae; Streptophyta; Magnoliopsida; Malpighiales; Euphorbiaceae. The record is from RNAcentral.
AAAUGGUGACACCCAUCUUGGAGGGGAGGACUUCGAUCAGAGGAUCAUGGAAUACUUUAUCAAGUUGAUUAAGAAGAAACACGGCAAGGAUAUCAGCAAGGACAACCGCGCUCUUGGGAAGCUGAGGAGGGAGUGCGAGCGGGCCAAGAGAGCUCUGAGCAACCAGCACCAAGUCCGCGUUGAGAUUGAAUCUCUCUACGAGGGCCUGGACUUCUCUGAGCCGUUGACCCGUGCCCGUUUUGAAGAAUUGAACAAUGACUUGUUCAGGAAGACCAUGGGUCCUGUCAAGAAGGCUAUGGAUGAUGCUGGUCUACAGAAGACCCAGAUUGACGAGAUUGUCCUCGUAGGAGGUAGCACUAGAAUCCCCAAGGUUCAGCAACUUCUGAAGGAUUACUUCGAUGGAAAGGAACCUAACAAGGGAGUGAACCCAGACGAGGCUGUUGCUUAUGGUGCAGCUGUACAGGGAAGUAUUCUGAGCGGCGAGGGCGGUGAAGAAACUAAAGAUAUCCUCCUCUUGGAUGUGGCACCCCUUACUAUGGGUAUUGAGACUGUCGGUGGAGUGAUGACCAAGUUGAUU